RNAcentral lists this ribosomal RNA (498 nucleotides) under uncultured bacterium. Its description in RNAcentral is "partial 16S ribosomal RNA". It matches the Rfam family "Bacterial small subunit ribosomal RNA", at positions 899 to 1397 of the family's 1533-position model. The record is from RNAcentral.
ACUCAAAUGAAUAGACGGGGGCCCGCACAAGCAGCGGAGCAUGUGGCUUAAUUCGACGCAACGCGAAGAACCUUACCAAGGCUUGACAUAUACCGGAAACGUGCAGAGAUGUACGCCCCCUUGUGGUCGGUAUACAGGUGGUGCAUGGUUGUCGUCAGCUCGUGUCGUGAGAUGUUGGGUUAAGUCCCGCAACGAGCGCAACCCUCGUUCUGUGUUGCCAGCGGGUUAUGCCGGGGACUCACAGGAGACUGCCGGGGUCAACUCGGAGGAAGGUGGGGACGACGUCAAAUCAUCAUGCCCCUUAUGUCUUGGGCUGCACACGUGCUACAAUGGCCGGUACAAUGAGCUGCGAUACCGCGAGGUGGAGCGAAUCUCAAAAAGCCGGUCUCAGUUCGGAUUGGGGUCUGCAACUCGACCCCAUGAAGUCGGAGUUGCUAGUAAUCGCAGAUCAGCAUUGCUGCGGUGAAUACGUUCCCGGGCCUUGUACACACCGCCCGU